RNAcentral lists this transfer RNA (70 nucleotides) under Pulchrana picturata. RNAcentral describes it as "tRNA-Val". Lineage: Eukaryota; Metazoa; Chordata; Amphibia; Anura; Ranidae. The record is from RNAcentral.
CAAAAUGUAGCUUAACUAAAGCCCCUCGCUUACACCGAGAGUAUAUCUGUUUGACCCAGGUCAUUUUGAG